Molecule: ribosomal RNA, 238 nt
Filed under: uncultured bacterium
Lineage: Bacteria
Description: partial 16S ribosomal RNA
Rfam family: Bacterial small subunit ribosomal RNA
Source: RNAcentral
UCCUACGGGGGGCAGCAGUGGGGAAUAUUGCGCAAUGGGCGAAAGCCUGACGCAGCGACGCCGCGUGAGGGAUGAAGGCUUUCGGAUCGUAAACCUCUGUCAGUAGGGAAGAAAGAGCGUGGUGCUAAUCAGCUGCGAAUUGAAGGUAACUUAAAAGGAAGCACCGGCUAACUCCGUGCCAAGAGCCGCGGUAAUACGGAGGGUGCGAGCGUUUAUCGGAAUUACUGGGCGUAAAGCG